CUAGCUAGUCAAGCUCACAAACAAAAGAGUGAGAACCUCAUAGCUCCUCCUUGCACAUCUGUUUUGGAGGAAUAUCUCAGCAUUCUGUUGUGAUGCACACUGGGCUUAAAUGAAUCUGAAUCUUGUGUCGGGGAAGGGGAAAGAAGCCGGCGGAUCUUCAGGCAGAGAACCCACAGGAGCCCCGAGAGAUCCAUCACACCCUUCUUGCUAAGAGGAGCCCCGCGGAGCGCACCUCACCCACGCCCACGGCCGCUCCUCACCUGCACGCAUCACGCAGCCGGCAGCUGCAUUCAAUAUGCAAUCUGCGCACCUGUCGGUGAUGAUCUGGCUGGGCUUCUUAAGCCAAUGCAGACCUGCAUUCUUGGCCAGAAUGUAACCAUCCGUUCGCGUACGCAGUCUGCCUUUGUUCCCGCGUCGACGAGCUGUGCGUCUCGUCAAUUCUUGGUUCUCUGAUUCCCGGACUGCCUCCUCGAUCCUCGACCCCCGCUUGGACACGGACCUUUUUCGCCCCCGCUAUCGCCCCUGGACUUCCUGCUUGCCUCACAGACAUUCCCCUUUUCUUCCGCCUCUCGCCCAACAUUCCCGGUAACAUACUCAUUAAAUCCUACACAUAGUCUCACACCAUACACACUCUUGGAUUCU
Entelurus aequoreus (snake pipefish) is the source of this 642-nucleotide long non-coding RNA. RefSeq lists it as uncharacterized. Lineage: Eukaryota; Metazoa; Chordata; Actinopteri; Syngnathiformes; Syngnathidae. The transcript has 4 exons. The record is from RefSeq and is a predicted model, not a curated record.